This 297-nucleotide ribosomal RNA is filed under the name uncultured bacterium. RNAcentral describes it as "partial 16S ribosomal RNA". It matches the Rfam family "Bacterial small subunit ribosomal RNA", at positions 30 to 334 of the family's 1533-position model. The record is from RNAcentral.
AUUGAACGCUGGCGGCAUGCCUUACACAUGCAAGUCGAACGGUAACAGGUUAAGCUGACGAGUGGCGAACGGGUGAGUAAUACAUCGGAACGUGCCCAGUAAUGGGGGAUAGCCCGGCGAAAGCCGGAUUAAUACCGCAUACGACCUACGGGUGAAAGCAGGGGAUCGCAAGACCUUGCGUUAUUGGAGCGGCCGAUGGCAGAUUAGGUAGUUGGUAGGGUAAAAGCCUACCAAGCCUACGAUCUGUAGCUGGUCUGAGAGGACGACCAGCCACACUGGGACUGAGACACGGCCCAG